Molecule: ribosomal RNA, 739 nt
Filed under: Entoloma mougeotii
Lineage: Eukaryota; Fungi; Basidiomycota; Agaricomycetes; Agaricales; Entolomataceae
Description: eukaryotic LSU rRNA
Rfam family: Eukaryotic large subunit ribosomal RNA
Source: RNAcentral
UUCCCCUAGUAACUGCGAGUGAAGCGGGAAAAGCUCAAAUUUAAAAUCUGGUAGUCUUUGGCUGCCCGAGUUGUAAUCUAGAGAAGUGUUAUCCGCGCUGGGCCGUGUAUAAGUCUCCUGGAAUGGAGCGUCAUAGAGGGUGAGAAUCCCGUCUUUGACACGGACUACCAGGGCUUUGUGAUACACUCUCAAAGAGUCGAGUUGUUUGGGAAUGCAGCUCUAAAUGGGUGGUAAGUUCCAUCUAAAGCUAAAUAUUGGCGAGAGACCGAUAGCGAACAAGUACCGUGAGGGAAAGAUGAAAAGAACUUUGGAAAGAGAGUUAAACAGUACGUGAAAUUGUUGAAAGGGAAACGCUUAAAGUCAGUCGCAUUAGCUGGGGAUCAACCUUGCUUCUGCUUGGUGUAUUUCCUGGUUGAUGGGUCAGCAUCAAUUUUGACCAAUGGAAAAAGGCUAAGGGAAUGUGGCAUCUCCGGAUGUGUUAUAGCCCUUGGUUGCAUACGUUGGUUGGGAUUGAGGAACUCAGCACGCCGCAAGGCCGGGUUUUUAACCACGUUCGUGCUUAGGAUGCUGGCAUAAUGGCUUUAAUCGACCCGUCUUGAAACACGGACCAAGGAGUCUAACAUACCUGCGAGUGUUUGGGUGGAAAACUCAAGCGCGUAAUGAAAGUGAAAGUUGGGAUCCCUGUCGUGGGGAGCACCGACGCCCGGACCAGACCUUCUGUGACGGAUCCGCGGUAGAG